GACGAACGCUGGCGGCGUGCCUAAUACAUGCAAGUUGAGCGAUGAAGCUUGGUGCUUGCCCCAAUUUGAAGAGCAGCGAACGGGUGAGUAACGCGUGGGGAAUCUGCCUUUGAGCGGGGGACAACAUUUGGAAACGAAUGCUAAUACCGCAUAACAACUUUAAACAUAAGUUUUAAGUUUGAUAGAUGCAAUUGCAUCACUCAAAGAUGAUCCCGCGUUGUAUUAGCUAGUUGGUGAGGUAAAGGCUCACCAAGGCGAUGAUACAUAGCCGACCUGAGAGGGUGAUCGGCCACAUUGGGACUGAGACACGGCCCAAACUCCUACGGGAGGCAGCAGUAGGGAAUCUUCGGCAAUGGACGAAGGUCUGACCGAGCAACGCCGCGUGAGUGAAGAAGGGUUUCGGAUCGUAAAACUCUGUUGGUAGAGAAGAACGUUGGUGAGAGUGGAAAGCUCAUCAAGUGACGGUAACUACCCAGAAAGGGACGGCUAACUACGUG
This 497-nucleotide ribosomal RNA is filed under the name uncultured bacterium. RNAcentral describes it as "partial 16S ribosomal RNA". It matches the Rfam family "Bacterial small subunit ribosomal RNA", at positions 28 to 507 of the family's 1533-position model. The record is from RNAcentral.